RNAcentral lists this ribosomal RNA (403 nucleotides) under uncultured bacterium. Its description in RNAcentral is "bacterial SSU rRNA". It matches the Rfam family "Bacterial small subunit ribosomal RNA", at positions 356 to 773 of the family's 1533-position model. The record is from RNAcentral.
GGGGGAUAUUGCGCAAUGGGGGGAACCCUGACGCAGCGACGCCGCGUGAAGGAAGAAGGUUUUCGGAUCGUAAACUUCUUUGAUUGGCGAAGAAAGAAAUGACGGUAGCCAAAGAACAAGCCACGGCUAACUACGUGCCAGCAGCCGCGGUAACACGUAGGUGGCGAGCGUUGUCCGGAAUUACUGGGUGUAAAGGGCGUGUAGGCGGGAGAGCAAGUCAGAUGUGAAAGUCCACAGCUCAACUGUGGGAUUGCAUCUGAAACUGUUUUUCUUGAGUACUGGAGAGGAAAGCGGAAUUCCACGUGUAGCGGUGAAAUGCGUAGAGAUGUGGAGGAACACCAGUGGCGAAGGCGGCUUUCUGGACAGUAACUGACGCUGAGGCGCGAAAGCGUGGGUAGCGAAC